RNAcentral lists this ribosomal RNA (457 nucleotides) under uncultured bacterium. RNAcentral's name for it is "bacterial SSU rRNA". It matches the Rfam family "Bacterial small subunit ribosomal RNA", at positions 28 to 479 of the family's 1533-position model. The record is from RNAcentral.
AGUGAACGCUGGCGGCAGGCCUAAUACAUGCAAGUCGAACGGCAGCACAGCAGAGCUUGCUCUGUGGGUGGCGAGUGGCGGACGGGUGAGGAAUACGUGGGAAUCUGCCCAGUCGUGGGGGAUAACGUAGGGAAACUUACGCUAAUACCGCAUGCGCCCUUCGGGGAAAGCCGGGGACCUUCGGGCCUGGCGCGAUUGGAUGAGCCCACGUCGGAUUAGCUAGUGGCGGGGUAAAGGCCCACCAAGGCGACGAUCCGUAGCUGGUCUGAGAGGAUGAUCAGCCACACUGGAACUGAGACACGGUCCAGACUCCUACGGGAGGCAGCAGUAGGGAAUAUCGGACAAUGGGCGCAAGCCUGAUCCAGCCAUGCCGCGUGAGUGAAGAAGGCCCUCGGGUUGUAAGCUCUUUGUCCGGAAAGAAAGCGCCGGGUUAAUACCCUGGUGUCCUGACGGUACC